UCGGGAAUUUUGGGCAAUGGGCGAAAGCCUGACCCAGCAACGCCGCGUGAGGGAUGAAGUAUUUCGGUAUGUAAACCUCGAAAGAAUGGGAAGAAUAAAUGACGGUACCAUUUAUAAGCUCCGGCUAACUACGUGCCAGCAGCCGCGGUAUACGUAGGGAGCAAGCGUUGUUCGGAUUUACUGGGCGUAAAGGGCGCGUAGGCGGCGCGGUAAGUCACUUGUGAAAUCUCUGAGCUUAACUCAGAACGGCCAAGUGAUACUGCUGUGCUAGAGUGCGGAAGAGGCAACCGGAAUUCUUGGUGUAGCGGUGAAAUGCGUAGAUAACAAGAGGAACACCUGAGGCGAAGGCGGGUUGCUGGGCCGACACUGACGCUGAUGCGCGAAAGCCAGGGGAGCAAACG
This 401-nucleotide ribosomal RNA is filed under the name uncultured bacterium. RNAcentral describes it as "bacterial SSU rRNA". It matches the Rfam family "Bacterial small subunit ribosomal RNA", at positions 355 to 774 of the family's 1533-position model. The record is from RNAcentral.